RNAcentral lists this long non-coding RNA (1105 nucleotides) under Anas platyrhynchos platyrhynchos (common mallard). RNAcentral describes it as "lncRNA (ENSAPLG00000020484.1)". Lineage: Eukaryota; Metazoa; Chordata; Aves; Anseriformes; Anatidae. The record is from RNAcentral.
UUCCCCCUGUGAAGCCCCAGGAGAGCAGAUUCUUCCAGCCUUGGCAUGCAGUUGGUUUUGCCACCUGGCCAUCACUAAUGCUUGCCUGGGGAAUCCCUCUGCCUUCUCUCCAGGUAACAACCAGGCUCCAGUCCUGUACCUCAACGCUUCCAGUGCCCAGGAGGGGGAAAUAGUGUUGCUUCAAUGUACCCUUGAUGAGCAGUUUCCUCCUACACGAGUUGUCUUCUGCAAGAAUGGGCUGGAGGAGUUCAGCCUGAAAGCCCAGCAGGGCAUGCUCAUCUACACUCUGGUCCUGAACAUCACCUCCAGAAGUGCUGGGAUGUACACGUGUGGGUACCAGCAAAAGAACAAGGAAAACUGGGUGAGGAGCUCUGCUCUCAGUGCUCCCUGGACCUUGUCUGUGGCAGGUGCAGGUGCUGGUGAGACCACCACUGAUAUCCACAGCUCCAAAGGUGAGGACAAGCAUGAGGGUGUGCCGUUUACAUGGACACGUCCUGCUCCCUGCCUCUCCCCAUCACACCCCGCUGCCCUCACACCCUCUGUCCCCCGGCUCCCCAUGCCCGGCUCCCGCACACCCUCCCCACAGCCAUGGUGCUUGCAGUGGUGCCUCUCAUCCUCAUCCUCCUGGCUGCAGGCAGCUGGUUUGCCAUCAGGAAAGCUGAGGGAGAGGGGGAAGGCUGGGGGAAGGCUGAGGCCGUGGGGGUCCUCGUGGGGCUGGUGCAGUGGGAAAGGUGGUGGGGGGAACCUGGGGGUGCGCAGCUGGGGCAAACGGUGCCUGGGGGUGACGGCUGUGGGCAGCCCAGCUGGGGAGGCUGCUGAGGGAGCUGGGGAGCUUCAGCCUUCAUCCCCCAGCCCCGAGAUGGGAGUCAGGGCUGGGCAGCCUGUUUGUGCCAGGUGAUAUACGGCCCAAGGGUGGUUUGAACAGAAGGGAUGGAGAUACUGUAGAGGCUGGAGCUGUGUGCUGCAGCAGGUAGGGCAUGGCUGUCGUGUAGAUCCCCCAUGGGAGUGUUCCCUCUCCUGUAAGUUAGCCGCUAGAGAAAGAGCUGCUCUCAGACAUGCCCGUCCCUCCUGCAGCACCUCUGCAUCAGAGAUAGGGCUGCAUCGG